RNAcentral lists this long non-coding RNA (663 nucleotides) under Lathyrus oleraceus (garden pea). RNAcentral describes it as "Pisum sativum (pea) long non-coding RNA (PSAT_LNC010961)". Lineage: Eukaryota; Viridiplantae; Streptophyta; Magnoliopsida; Fabales; Fabaceae. The record is from RNAcentral.
AGAGCAAAUCCUUUGAAAAUGACUAUAACCUUAAGUAAGAAAAUUACACUAGAACUUGACCAAAAAACACAUCAGAAAAGCAUAUAAAAAAUUAUCAUAAGGUGCAAGGAAGAUAGCUUUAGUUGUCUACUAGUAAAAUUUAUCCAUGCAAAAUAGAUUGAACUAACAUGGCUAAUAUUGAUUAAUCAAAGGCUACAAGCCUACAACAACAUAACACAACCCAAAAAAAAAAAAAAAAAUAUCCAUGCAAAAUAGAUUGAACUAACAUGGCUAAUAUUGAUUAAUCAAAGGCUACAAGCCUACAACAACAUAACACAACCCAAAAAAAAAAAAAAAAACUCAAGUGUUCAAAUAAUAGAUACACUACAAACUUAUAAUAACAAAAUGACACUUAAAAAAAAACUCCAUGAGAAUGUUUAUUCAGCCUCCAAAUUAUCAAAUUGCCAAGGAUUGAAUUCUGGUCUACUUUCAGGCUCCUCAAUGCAAUCAGAACUAUCUAUUCCGGCGCGAUGUUCUGUAUAUUUACCAUUGUAUUGGUAAACUUCCAAUUCACCCCAAGGUGUAGGUGUUACUUCCUCUGUUAGAUCAAACCAUCUAGAAACGAACUUCUGGUUCUUCGCCUCUCUGUUUCUUUUCUCGGCUCUUUGCCUCUCCUCCAAACUG